GAGUUUGAUCCUGGCUCAGAACGAACGCUGGCGGCGUGGAUAAGACAUGCAAGUCGAACGGGAGAAUUGCUAGCUUGCUAAUAAUUCUCUAGCGGCGCACGGGUGAGUAACACGUGAGUAACCUGCCCCCGAGAGCGGGAUAGCCCUGGGAAACUGGGAUUAAUACCGCAUAGUAUCGAAAGAUUAAAGCAGCAAUGCGCUUGGGGAUGGGCUCGCGGCCUAUUAGUUAGUUGGUGAGGUAACGGCUCACCAAGGCGAUGACGGGUAGCCGGUCUGAGAGGAUGUCCGGCCACACUGGAACUGAGACACGGUCCAGACACCUACGGGUGGCAGCAGUCGAGAAUCAUUCACAAUGGGGGAAACCCUGAUGGUGCGACGCCGCGUGGGGGAAUGAAGGUCUUCGGAUUGUAAACCCCUGUCAUGUGGGAGCAAAUUAAAAAGAUAGUACCACAAGAGGAAGAGACGGCUAACUCUGUGCCAGCCGCCGCCGUAAC
RNAcentral lists this ribosomal RNA (494 nucleotides) under uncultured microorganism. RNAcentral describes it as "bacterial SSU rRNA". It matches the Rfam family "Bacterial small subunit ribosomal RNA", at positions 9 to 524 of the family's 1533-position model. The record is from RNAcentral.